UAGGGAAUCUUCCGCAAUGGGCGAAGGCCUGACGGAGCAACGCCGCGUGAGUGAUGAAGGUCUUCGGAUCGUAAAACUCUGUUAUUAGGGAAGAACAAAUGUGUAAGUAACUAUGCACGUCUUGACGGUACCUAAUCAGAAAGCCACGGCUAACUACGUGCCAGCAGCCGCGGUAAUACGUAGGUGGCAAGCGUUAUCCGGAAUUAUUGGGCGUAAAGCGCGCGUAGGCGGUUUUUUAAGUCUGAUGUGAAAGCCCACGGCUCAACCGUGGAGGGUCAUUGGAUGCUGGAAAACUUGAGUGCAGAAGAGGAAAGUGGAAUUCCAUGUGUAGCGGUGAAAUGCGCAGGGAUAUGGAGGAACACCAGUGGCGAAGGCGACUUUCUUGUCUGUAACUGACGCUUAUGUGCGAAAGCGUGGGGAUCAAACAGG
Molecule: ribosomal RNA, 429 nt
Filed under: Actinomycetes bacterium
Lineage: Bacteria; Bacillati; Actinomycetota; Actinomycetes
Description: Actinobacteria bacterium partial 16S ribosomal RNA
Rfam family: Bacterial small subunit ribosomal RNA
Source: RNAcentral